CGCAGUAAAAAAGAAAGGAAACCGCCCACUCGCACGACCUCCUCCUUCUCCCGCAGGCCGCAGCCGCGCCCUUCACCGCCUCCUCGCGCCGCGGGAGCCACGGGAAGCGGCCGCGGGUCGCCGGGAGCCUCCCCAGCCGCACGACCUCCUCCUCAUCCCCAGCCGCGGCUCGCCGGGAGCCUCCCCUGCCGCCGGAGCCGCCCCGCCGCAGCUUGGCCGCCGCCACUCCGCCUCCGCCACUCGCCCCCGCCGUGGGACAGCCGUGGGACAGUCAGAGCCGCCGCGGGCGUGAGCUGCCGCCCCGCCCAUCCUCUCCCACCUCCCGCCCAUCCUCGCCCUCCGCUCGCCGAUCCUCUUCUCCGCCGCCCGCCUUCCUCUGCUCCUCCUCUGCCGCCGACGAUCUCAUCCGAGCCAGUUCCUGAAGCAUUGUAUUUCCAGUUAAAGGAUGUAGUGAUGUUACAGAGGAGCGCGCGGCUGGCCGGCCUAUGUGAUGUUCCUGCCUGCGGCUGCCACCAGGCUGUGCAUGCGGCUUGCUUUGUUCAGGUCCUCUCAAUUUCAGGAGAGGAAGUGAACUCGAUUAAUACUGUCAAUUUUGGAAGCAGUUUUUGUGAUUCUGGUUCAGCAUGGAUAAUGUUGUUUAGGACUGUAAACAUGGUCAUGGUUAAUUUUAGUUGCUAGAUGGAAAAGCAGUGCUACAAAUUUUAGAACUAGGGCGUCGUUUUCCACGGCUCUAUCAAGUUAUUUGCAUUGUACAGUCACAGUUCUAAGCUUAAUCUUAUUAGUUCUGUAGCAUUGCAGAUCAGGGUCUUUUUUCCUAGCAGAUCAAUACCUUUGGUCGGAUUUAGCUUAUUUGAUAGUGAACAAAACAUAAAUGGUGUGAAUAUAACGAAUAAUUACGCGGUGUGACCUAUCAAAACUAUUAACGUGAAUUUUUCAUUUCUCAUUUUUACACUUUUUAUUCUUCCCUUGAGAUCCACUGUUUGCUCUUCUAACAGUAUAAUACUAGCUGUGCACUUGCAGCCCCUUUCAGUUGAGCUGGGUCCUGGUAUCCUCGGGUACAUUUUUUAGGGAAUCCAGCUGUUGGAGAUGUUCGCGCAGUCGGAGAUCUAUAUGAUACUGUCUUCGAGAACAAUUUGAUGAACCACAGUGUCGCCCUUCCACCUGGUUCUAUGGGGAAAGUAAAUUACGUCGCUUCAGCUGUUCAAUACAGCCUAUAGGAUACAGUGCUAGAGUUAGAACUUCAGGGCAUGAAAAAGCAAUUUACUAUGCUUCAGACAUGGCAUGUGUGUACACCAAGACCUGUUGCAUCAAAGCUUUUUGCGGAUACACCUCUUCUUACAGGACAGCUCGUGUGCUUGAUGCAUCCCUUGGUUCUUGGAGGAACAUGUGCUAUUCCUGGUGCUUUUGGUUGUGGAAAAACUGUUAUUAGUCAGGCACUUUCCAAGUACUCCAGUUCUGAAGCUGUGGUUUAUGUGAGAUGUGGUGAAAGAACAAAUGAGAUGGCUGGGGUUCUCAUGGACUUGCCCCAAUUGACAAUGACGUUGCCCAACGGACGUGAAGAGUUUGUCAUGAAGAGAACAACAUUGGUUUCUAACGCGUCUAACAUGCCCGUCGCUGCUCGUGAAGCCUCCAUUUAUACAAGUAAAGGUGUAAUGCCUUGAUAGCCGUGGAAGUAAAGGGGAUUUAUUGAUCAAGCUGGCUCAUUAUAUUAGGGUUGUCUUGAUCUUGCUUACUCAAGUGCUUCACCAGUAGAGCUGCACAACAUGUGCGGUGUGCCAAGCCGUGCUUUCAAGUUGUGUCUUCGGCCCUCCCCGUUGUAAUGCUCGUCUAGCAUGAAGCUUGAAAGUUGAUCCAAACCAACACCAUGUAUUCUUAUGGAUGUAUGAGUCAACUCAUUGUAGGUGGAGCUUUUCUCUUGCACACAACUUACUUUAUUUUAUGCUUUAUCAGUGUAAUGUCCAGUUUCAUUUGCA
This 1973-nucleotide ribosomal RNA is filed under the name Triticum aestivum (bread wheat). RNAcentral's name for it is "partial small subunit ribosomal RNA". The record is from RNAcentral. Lineage: Eukaryota; Viridiplantae; Streptophyta; Magnoliopsida; Poales; Poaceae.